GAUGAUCUACACUCAUAGUGGAACAUUUCAUAUGAAGAAGUCGAAGGCAUAUAAUGAAGUCUUGUUGGAGAAAUAAUUGAAGGAAUAAAGGGGCAGAAACUGACCUAAAACCAGCUUAAUAUUCACAUGUUCAUGUUUCCUACCCACAUGAAGAAAGCUAGAUGCUUUUCUCUUUUUCCUUGGAUAUAUUUUUCUUCUACAAUCUCUUUAAUAGAUCAUCACCACUUCCAUGUUGCUGCACCUUCAUGCUUUGCUUUCAUUUCAUCUUUUCUCUAUCUUUUCCAUAUUUUACAAGUGAACUUAGAUCUACUUUCAUUAUUUUUCUUCCACUCAUCAUUUCACUCUUCUUUUUCUUCCCUAUAUAAACACCUUCUCCUCUCAUUCUAAAACACCCAUUCACAUACAACAUCAAAACAUCUCUAAGAUGAUCUAAGUUCUCUCUAGAGCAAACCUCUCUAAGAGCAACUCCUCUCCCUCUCUUUCUCUUUCUCUUAUCGGUGAUCACACUCCUAGUCCUAGUCUUCUCAGAAGCCGACUUUCAGUGCCACCAAACCCUCUGUCAACGUGCUUCGGUCCUAGUCUCCUCGGGAGCCGACGGUAGUGCCGCGACCACAACGGUUACAGAACCAGCCAAGCAAGGGUAACGCCCUAGCAACCCAGCCAAGCUAAAGUCACGCUUUAGCAAGAUCUCAACAUUUCCCGGUGAUGUCGCUCUGCUCGAUCUACAAUAUUGAGUAUCGAUUGUGUUAACAAGAAGAAACUUCAGCAAAGUCCUCACCACGAGGCAGAAAGAAUCCCCAUGACGAGGUUGGUGCUCUCCUCGUCUACAAUCGCUUGAAAAGAAGUCAGGUCAAGGGACAUCCCCGACGACCGUACCCGAACGGUGCUGGCAUGCCCGCGCAGAAAAGAGACUGUUGACCAGCUGCAGCAAAAUUGGAGCCAAACAACCGGCACCUCUAAAGAGAUUUAUAACUAUGAAGUUGACACUACUACACUUUGGGGCAAAGGCCACACUCUCCUAGCCACAGAUGAAUUAAAGCGUGGAGAUCUCCACCCAAUUUGCUCAGUUGGUAAAAGAUUCCCACUUUUCCGAUUACAAUCCUGUCUAUGCAAUUGUUUACUAUAUUUUUUCUAUCACCUGGCCCAGUUUCACUGUUACAAGCAGAGGAUUUGAGCAUUUUACCGCACCAAUUGAAAUUGAAAGAACGGUAAAUUAUUUUUUUCUUUUCUUUUAUAAACUUUUUGUCCAUCAGAUUUUAUCUUCUUCCCAUCUCUUUCUCUCUCUCUCUCUCUCUUUCAUGUCGCAGUCCUCUCCAGUCCAUGGCAACAACAACAGUAAUUUUCAGCAAGCUAGCUCUCUCAAUCAGAUUAGCAAUCCGCUGCUCAUUGUUAGGGCUUCAAGAGUAUCGGCCAUUAUCCUCUAUUGCGAAUGGUUUCUAUAUGUGUUUGGCUUUAUCUUAGUCAAAUGGUGAGGAUACCAUACCCGUAUGGACAAAAAUCUCAGAUUUGUAGGAAAGAUGGGUACUGACUUGCACCAUGUGCUGAACUAGGCCAUUUUCUGGAAACUGAAGCAUCGGGCUCUCGAAUCCUACCACAGAAAAUGGCACGCUGAAUUUCUGGUAUUGCUGCAUGUCCCAAUCGAACUGCAAUAUCGGUUAAUCGGGAGGUUAUCGUUUGGAACAAACAGCCGCAAAAGCUUAUGAUAUAACAAAACUCAAGCACGUGAGUAGACAAAAAUAUGUUACUCACUGAGAAGGAAAAUUUAUAUCAAGUCCAACUCAAAGUAUCCAGCUUCCAUGUUGAAUUUUGAAGAGUCUGAGCUGUUGUUUGAGACAGGGAGAAGUUAAGGCAACGUCAGUUAGUAGUCAAGGCAAGGUCAAUUACUAGUCAGUAUGUAGAGGUUACAGAGUUAGAGCUCUUGUUGAAGCCUAGGAGAAGUUGAGGUAAUAAACCAUUUGGUUUGUUGAUUAGUAUCUAGAGAACUAUAUGUAUUGAUGUAUUAAAGUUUAAAUAGAAAGAUUUAUGUAUCUGGUUUGUUGAAUUUUACAAUAUAGGAAAUUAUUGUUAUAUAUUCAACAAUCAGAUAUUGGAUUUUCAUUAUAUGUACCAGGGAAAAAAAAAUUCAGAUAUUGAGAAUUCUUUAUGAACAA
Molecule: long non-coding RNA, 2150 nt
Organism: Rosa rugosa (rugosa rose)
Lineage: Eukaryota; Viridiplantae; Streptophyta; Magnoliopsida; Rosales; Rosaceae
Exons: 6
Source: RefSeq, a predicted model, not a curated record